AUCCUUAGAUUUUUGAUAUUGGAGAUUAGGCAAAUACCUGGAAAUGGAAAUACAGUAGGAAGACGUAGACGUCAGCAAUAGAUCGAGUAAUUAGCAGGACCAGACAGCAAGUCACAAUAGCAGGGAAUUAGUUUGGACUUAGCUAUAGACCCAGAGACGAUGUUAGAUGGACCAGGACCAAUUUCAAACCAAAACACCACCCAAAACAGCUUGAAUACAACCAAAAUGACUCGAAAUUGAACCCACGAACAAUCAGAAAACCACAUCAAUCAAACUUGGAGCUAAAUAAUGUAAAUCCACACAACUUGAAACUGAACUUAAAAUUUUAAUAGAACAAUAUUUGAAUGCCUUUUUU
Molecule: long non-coding RNA, 355 nt
Filed under: Nicotiana benthamiana
Lineage: Eukaryota; Viridiplantae; Streptophyta; Magnoliopsida; Solanales; Solanaceae
Description: long non-coding RNA (NBEN_LNC008364)
Source: RNAcentral